Amphiprion ocellaris (clown anemonefish) is the source of this 311-nucleotide long non-coding RNA. Lineage: Eukaryota; Metazoa; Chordata; Actinopteri; Pomacentridae. The record is from Ensembl.
GAGGUGAGUUGCACAUUGUCACACAUUGCUGCUUUACUCUUGUGUUUGAUUGUUUCAGAUCCUGAGAGAUCAAGUGGUGGACGUCCAUAGAGGAGAGGAGGUUCACAGAGAUUAGUUGCAACAAGAAAACGCUAUGCAUGGUGUCAGAGAUUUGCCGUAGAAGCAGAGCUUCUUCUUCUUCUUCUUCUUCUUCUUCUUCUUCUUCUUCUUCUUCUUCUUCUUCUUCUUCUUCUUCUUCUUCUUCUUCUUCUUCUUCUUCUUCUUCUUCUUCUUCUUCUUCUUCUUCUUCUUCUUCUUCUUCUUCUUCUUCU